RNAcentral lists this ribosomal RNA (504 nucleotides) under uncultured bacterium. RNAcentral describes it as "bacterial SSU rRNA". It matches the Rfam family "Bacterial small subunit ribosomal RNA", at positions 8 to 489 of the family's 1533-position model. The record is from RNAcentral.
AGAGUUUGAUCCUGGCUCAGAACGAACGCUGGCGGCGUGCUUAACACAUGCAAGUCGAACGCGAAAGAGGUCUUCGGACCUCUCUAGAGUGGCGCACGGGUGAGUAACGCGUAGAUAAUCUACCCCCAUAUUUGGGAUAACAGCUCGAAAGGGCUGCUAAUACCGGAUACACUUAUUUGAACGCGAGUUUGAGUGAGGAAAGGUGACCUCUCCAUGGAAGUUACUGUAUAGGGAUGAGUCUGCGUACCAUUAGCUAGUAGGUAGGGUAAAGGCCUACCUAGGCGACGAUGGUUAGCGGGUCUGAGAGGAUGAUCCGCCACACUGGAACUGGAACACGGACCAGACUCCUACGGGAGGCAGCAGUGAGGAAUAUUGCGCAAUGGGGGAAACCCUGACGCAGCGACGCCGCGUGGGUGAUGAAGGCCUUCGGGUUGUAAAGCCCUGUCAGGUGGGAAGAAGUGCAUAAUGGCUAAUAUCCAUUAUGUUGACGGUACCACCAAAGAG